GGGCCGCUAGCUCAAUGGUAGAGCAAUUCCCUCUUAAGGAAGAGGUUGGAGGUUCGAAUCCUCCGCGGCUCA
This is a non-coding RNA of Candidatus Woesebacteria bacterium, 72 nucleotides long. The record is from Rfam. NCBI's taxonomy places the organism in Bacteria, Candidatus Woeseibacteriota.